This 301-nucleotide long non-coding RNA is filed under the name Sorghum bicolor (sorghum). RNAcentral's name for it is "long non-coding RNA (SBIC_LNC005104)". Lineage: Eukaryota; Viridiplantae; Streptophyta; Magnoliopsida; Poales; Poaceae. The record is from RNAcentral.
UUAUAUUACACUCUUCCUAUUCAACGCAGGACAAGAACAAGUUACAAAUCUUACUUUUUUUGGGACUGCUUUCCUUAAUUCAUCGUCUCAGGCUUACAUAUAUUAGUUUGGGACACAACCUCAUACUACUUUCAGAUGCACAUGUUUAUCAGGCUUACAUAUAUUAGUUUGGGACACAACCUCAUACUACUAUCAGAGGCACAUAUUUAUCGUACAAAUUCCAUUAUUGCACAAUUUUUUUUACUGAUUUCGGUGCGCUGUGUCCAUGACAUAUUGUUUCAUCCCCCCUAAUAUUUGGUGC